AAAGGAUUUCCAAAGGAUUUCUAUAUCAUCCAAAGGAUUUCUAUAUCAUACGAGGAUUAUGUGACCUGCUGCACGAAUAAACCAAACAUUCUCCAAUAAACACGAUUACAGCAAAUGAAUGUCCCAGAAAUGCAAACCGUGACGAAAAGCGGCAGUUAACAUAGCAAAACAAAAUAUGGGUUUUCCGAUUUUCAAUCGAUGACGACCGCCAUCCCUAUAAAACCAAUAUUUAUCCUCCGCCACCGCCUUGUACAUCAAACAACUA
Diachasmimorpha longicaudata is the source of this 265-nucleotide long non-coding RNA. RefSeq lists it as uncharacterized. The transcript is spliced from 3 exons. Lineage: Eukaryota; Metazoa; Arthropoda; Insecta; Hymenoptera; Braconidae. The record is from RefSeq and is a predicted model, not a curated record.